RNAcentral lists this ribosomal RNA (315 nucleotides) under Crustacea environmental sample. Its description in RNAcentral is "bacterial SSU rRNA". It matches the Rfam family "Eukaryotic small subunit ribosomal RNA", at positions 1140 to 1476 of the family's 1831-position model. The record is from RNAcentral. Lineage: Eukaryota; Metazoa; Arthropoda.
AAACUUAAAGGAAUUGACGGAAGGGCACCACCAGGAGUGGAGCCUGCGGCUUAAUUUGACUCAACACGGGGAAACUUACCAAGGCCAAACAGGGGUGGGAUUGACAGAUUGAGAGCUCUUUCUUGAUUCUUUGGGUGGUGGUGCAUGGCCGUUCUUAGUUGGUGGAGUGAUUUGUCUGGUUAAUUCCGAUAACGAACGAGACUCUGUCCUGCUAAAUAGUUGGGUCGUCCUUCGUGCGAUCCAAGUUCUUCUUAGAGGGACUGGCUGCGUCUAGCAGCACGAGAUUGAGCAAUAACAGGUCUGUGAUGCCCUUAG